CCAGCGGUGAUGAGCCUCUAACAUGUAAGAAGAAAUCCUAGUCUGGGUUCUUCAAUGAAAUUUACUUGUUACGCUUGGCUUCUGAGCUUU
Cajanus cajan (pigeon pea) is the source of this 90-nucleotide small nucleolar RNA. It matches the Rfam family "Small nucleolar RNA R24". From Rfam's summary of the family: snoR24 is a C/D box small nucleolar RNA which acts as a methylation guide for 18S ribosomal RNA in plants. The record is from Rfam. Lineage: Eukaryota; Viridiplantae; Streptophyta; Magnoliopsida; Fabales; Fabaceae.